RNAcentral lists this long non-coding RNA (1053 nucleotides) under Dromaius novaehollandiae (emu). RNAcentral describes it as "lncRNA (ENSDNVG00000011181.1)". The record is from RNAcentral. Lineage: Eukaryota; Metazoa; Chordata; Aves; Casuariiformes; Dromaiidae.
UGGAGAAGGGCAGGAGGACGCCCUGGGCCGCGGGACGGGAGCCGAACGUGUCCCCCGGCCCCGCCCCAGGUUGAACUACGCCACCUUCACCCCGUCGCUGAAGCAGCUCUGCAACGAGACGGCGGCGGCCGAGACCCACCUGGUCGGCGACUUCGCCGACCAUUGGUUCGUUGGGACCAGCCUUUGGUUGGUGCCUUCUCAUUGGCCUGUUGUAGACCUGCGUUGGCCAUUGGUGGCCGGAUUGGCCUGUUAAGACCUGAGCUGAGUUGGUCGAGACCGGAUUGGGCCAUUGGGGAGCGGCUUGAUCCGGAUCCAGGCUUGACCAUUGGUGGCCGCCUUGGGGCGGGCCUGGAUUGGCCUCUUCCGGUUGGUGGAGAGGUGUUUGGCCUUCGGUUGCUUCAAUCAAGACAGCGAUUGGCUGGUGGUGGCUGCAUUGGUUUUGGCUUUGGUCGACCUCUCCUAGUUGGGUUCUUCCAGGCUUUGCUCGGCCGUGGUGAUUGGCUCGGCCCAGAGCUCGGCCUCUUCCGAUUGGCCCCUUCAAGACUUGGCUUAUGGUUGCGUUUCCAUCUUCCCGCUUGGGUCCCUGAAGACCUGGAGUGACUGUUGGUGAUUGGCUGGGUGCCGAUCAACCAGGCGUUCUCCGAUUGGCCUGUUCCCCACCGAGGUUGCCCAUUGGUGGAUCAGCCUCUUCCCGUUGGGUUGACGUUGACCGUUGGGAGGUGGUUUGAGCCCGACCCAGUCAAGGCCGAGUUGCCCCCGGUCUCCUCCACCUCCUUCCUCCCAGGGCUCCGCCCACAGGCGUCAGGUGACCCCGACACCCCCCCACCCGGGUCCCCAACUCCUCCCGCCCUCGGGGACCCGGCGGGGACAAGGCUCCGCUGUCACCCUGUCGCUCCGCUGCUUGGGUCCCGCUUUGGUGGGCGGAGUUAAGGUGAYGGGGGGCUUGCCGGAGCCGGGGAGACCCUGGGGGUGGCCAGAGGUGAGGUGAUGGCCGCUGUCCCCCUCGCCCGCUUCCUGCUGUUACGCGAUGUCCCCACGGUGCCACCUUCUCCG